GAUGAACGCUGGCGGCGUGCCUAAUACAUGCAAGUCGAGCGAACAGACGAGGAGCUUGCUCCUUUGACGUUAGCGGCGGACGGGUGAGCAACACGUGGGUAACCUACCUAUAAGACUGGGAUAACUUCGGGAAACCGGAGCUAAUACCGGAUAAUAUUUCGAACCGCAUGGUUCGAUAGUGAAAGAUGGCUUUGCUAUCACUUAUAGAUGGACCUGCGCCGUAUUAGCUAGUUGGUAAGGUAACGGCUUACCAAGGCAACGAUACGUAGCCGACCUGAGAGGGUGAUCGGCCACACUGGAACUGAGACACGGUCCAGACUCCUACGGGAGGCAGCAGUAGGGAAUCUUCCGCAAUGGGCGAAAGCCUGACGGAGCAACGCCGCGUGAGUGAUGAAGGUCUUCGGAUCGUAAAACUCUGUUAUUAGGGAAGAACAAACGUGUAAGUAGCUGUGCACGUCUUGACGGUACCUAAUCAGAAAGCCACGGCUAACUACGUG
RNAcentral lists this ribosomal RNA (497 nucleotides) under uncultured bacterium. Its description in RNAcentral is "partial 16S ribosomal RNA". It matches the Rfam family "Bacterial small subunit ribosomal RNA", at positions 28 to 507 of the family's 1533-position model. The record is from RNAcentral.